This 497-nucleotide ribosomal RNA is filed under the name uncultured bacterium. RNAcentral describes it as "partial 16S ribosomal RNA". It matches the Rfam family "Bacterial small subunit ribosomal RNA", at positions 28 to 507 of the family's 1533-position model. The record is from RNAcentral.
GAUGAACGCUGGCGGCGUGCCUAAUACAUGCAAGUCGAGCGAACGGACGAGGAGCUUGCUUCUCUGACGUUAGCGGCGGACGGGUGAGUAACACGUGGAUAACCUACCUAUAAGACUGGGAUAACUUCGGGAAACCGUAGCUAAUACCGGAUAAUAUUUUGAACCGCAUGGUUCAAAAGUGAAAGACGGUCUUGCUGUCACUUAUAGAUGGAUCCGCGCUGCAUUAGCUAGUUGGUAAGGUAACGGCUUACCAAGGCAACGAUGCGUAGCCGACCUGAGAGGGUGAUCGGCCACACUGGAACUGAGACACGGUCCAGACUCCUACGGGAGGCAGCAGUAGGGAAUCUUCCGCAAUGGGCGAAAGCCUGACGGAGCAACGCCGCGUGAGUGAUGAAGGUCUUCGGAUCGUAAAACUCUGUUAUUAGGGAAGAACAUAUGUGUAAGUAACUGUGCACGUCUUGACGGUACCUAAUCAGAAAGCCACGGCUAACUACGUG